This 292-nucleotide ribosomal RNA is filed under the name uncultured bacterium. Its description in RNAcentral is "partial 16S ribosomal RNA". It matches the Rfam family "Bacterial small subunit ribosomal RNA", at positions 505 to 796 of the family's 1533-position model. The record is from RNAcentral.
GUGUCAGCAGCCGCGGUAAUACGUAGGGGGCUAGCGUUGUCCGGAAUCAUUGGGCGUAAAGAGCGUGUAGGCGGCCCGGUAAGUCCGCUGUAAAAGUCAAAGGCUCAACCUUUGAAUGUCAGUGGAUACUGCCGGGCUAGAGUCCGGAAGAGGCGAGUGGAACUCCUGGUGUAGCGGUGGAAUGCGCAGAUAUCAGGAAGAACACCAACGGCGAAGGCAGCUCGCUAGGACGGUACUGACGCUGAGACGCGAAAGCGUGGGGAGCGAACAGGAUUAGAUACCCUGGUAGUCC